This 1557-nucleotide ribosomal RNA is filed under the name Triticum aestivum (bread wheat). Its description in RNAcentral is "partial small subunit ribosomal RNA". The record is from RNAcentral. Lineage: Eukaryota; Viridiplantae; Streptophyta; Magnoliopsida; Poales; Poaceae.
AUGGGGAUAAAGAUGCCGCGGCAGUGCGGCCGCGAAAGCUUCGCGGCGGCGGCGUCGCUGGCUCUGCUUCUCCUCCUCGCCGCGCCGCCGCGGGGAUGCGUCGCGCAGAGCGGCGGAGUGCUCACGAGGGGGAGCUUCCCCGACGGGUUCGUCUUCGGCACAGCAUCCUCCGCGUACCAGUAUGAGGGGGCGGUGAAGGCGGACGGGAGAGGGCAGACCAUCUGGGACACCUUCGCGCACACCUUCGGAAAGAUCAGCGACUUCAGCAAUGCCGACAUCACAGUAGAUCAAUACCAUCGUUUCGAGGAGGACAUACAGCUCAUGGCGGACAUGGGAAUGGACGCAUAUCGGUUCUCCAUCGCGUGGGCAAGAAUCCUCCCAAAUGGUGUUGGUCAGGUUAAUCAGGCUGGCAUCGACCAUUACAACAAACUGAUCAAUGCCCUUCUUGCUAAAGGAAUUCAACCAUAUGUGACCCUGUUCCACUGGGACCUCCCCCAGGCCCUAGAGGACAAGUACAACGGGUGGCUGGACAGGCAGAUAGUCAACGACUUCGUGGCUUACGCCGAGACAUGCUUCGCGGCGUUCGGCGACAGGGUGAAGCAUUGGAUCACGGUGAACGAGCCGCACAAUGUGGCCGUCAAUGGCUACGAUGUCGGGAUCCAGGCUCCUGGUCGCUGCUCCCUGCUGCUCCACCUCUACUGCAAAUCCGGCAACUCCGGCACCGAGCCCUACAUCGUCGCCCACAACUUCAUCCUGGCCCACGCCGCCGUCUCCCAAUUGUACAGGAGGAAGUACAAGGCGGCGCAGAAUGGGCAGCUCGGGAUGGCGUUCGACGUGGUGUGGUAUGAGCCGAUGUCAGAUGCCGCUGUUGAUGUGGAGGCGGCCAAGAGGGCGCAGGAGUUCCAGUUGGGGUGGUUCGCGGACCCCUUCUUCUUCGGCGACUACCCGACCACCAUGAGGAAGCGAGUAGGGGAGAGGCUGCCGAGGUUCACAACGGAGGAGUCCGCGCUCGUUAAGGGGACACUCGACUUCGUGGGUAUCAACCACUACACCACCUAUUACACCAAGCAGAACGACACGAACAUCAUCGCCCUGCUUCUCAACAACACCUUGGCAGACACCGGGAGCAUCAGCCUACCCUUCAAGAACGGCAAACCGAUUGGGGAUAGGGCGAAUUCGAUAUGGCUGUACAUCGUGCCCAGAGGGAUGAGGAGCGUGAUGGAGUAUGUCAAGGACAGGUACAACCGCCCGCCGGUGUACAUCACCGAAAACGGAAUGGAUGACAGCAACAGCCCCUUCAUUUUACGCAAGGACGCCCUCCAGGACACCAAGAGGAUCAAGUACCACAACGACUACCUCGCCAAUCUGGCCGCUUCCAUCAAGGAGGACGGGUGCGACGUGCGUGGGUACUUCGCGUGGUCUCUGCUGGACAACUGGGAGUGGGCGGCCGGGUACACGUCCAGGUUCGGGCUCUACUUCGUGGACUACAACGAUAAGCUCAAGAGAUACCCCAAGAGCUCGGUGCAGUGGUUCAAGAGCCUCCUCGGCUCAAGUUGA